RNAcentral lists this ribosomal RNA (229 nucleotides) under uncultured bacterium. RNAcentral describes it as "partial 16S ribosomal RNA". It matches the Rfam family "Bacterial small subunit ribosomal RNA", at positions 568 to 796 of the family's 1533-position model. The record is from RNAcentral.
UGCGCAGGCGGGAAAUUAAGUCAGUGGUGAAAUCCUGCAGCUCAACUGUAGAAUUGCCAUUGAUACUGAUUUUCUUGAGUGCAGUUGAGGUGGGCGGAAUGUGUAAUGUAGCGGUGAAAUGCUUAGAUAUUACACAGAACACCGAUUGCGUAGGCAGCUCACUAAACUGUUACUGACGCUCAGGCACGAAAGCAUGGGGAGCGAACAGGAUUAGAUACCCUGGUAGUCC